RNAcentral lists this ribosomal RNA (122 nucleotides) under Pogona vitticeps (central bearded dragon). Lineage: Eukaryota; Metazoa; Chordata; Lepidosauria; Squamata; Agamidae. The record is from RNAcentral.
UUUGCAGGUCUGUUUUGUAUCCCUGAACAUGCUGAUCUUGUCUGAUAUCUGAAGCUAAGGAGAGUGAAUUCUGGUUGGUACUUGGAUGGGAAACCCCCAUGUAAUACCAGCAAUCCCCAGAA